AGCACCAACCCAACAGCAAAAACUAAAAAUCUAUUCAAGUCAGGUCAGGUGACGAGCCCUUGUGACAGAUCUUAUUCCUUAAAAAUAUUAUAAAAAUCCCCAAAAAACAUUAAACAUGUCGAUGCACACAUUAGCCAACAAGGGAAAAUUGAUCAGCGUCAUCGGAGAUGAGGACACCUGCGUCGGCUUCCUGCUGGGCGGAAUUGGUGAAAUCAACAAGAACAGACACCCCAACUUCAUGGUUGUUGACAAAAACACAGCAGUCAGUGAAAUCGAGGAGUGCUUCAAGCGCUUCGUGAAACGGGAUGACAUCGACAUCAUUCUGAUCAAUCAGAACAUUGCUGAGCUGAUCCGGCACGUGAUCGACGCCCACACCGCGCCCGUGCCCGCUGUGCUCGAGAUCCCCUCGAAAGACCAUCCUUACGAUGCUAGCAAGGACUCCAUCCUGCGUCGUGCUAGGGGCAUGUUCAACCCCGAAGACUUGGUACGCUAAAACUAAUUUAUUGCAUGGUAUUGUUGUCUGCGCAUCAGACGGCACGUGUAUAUACGCCAGCUGUUUACCAACAUUACGAACUAACUACUAAUGUCACCAGCCAUCUACAUAAAGCGUGUUCACUGCGUUUGAUGCUCAACAUGUUGAUCAAUUUAAUUAUAUCAAUAGAUUGAUCACAAAAUCGAUAUAUAAGAAAAAAAUAGUAUGUCAAAGUCUCAUCCAGCAAAAUAACAACGUAAUUACAAUUUUCAAGAAUAAUUUUAAGUUCGGAAUUGUCUAACCAAAACUAUACAUCUAUGGUUAUUCAGUCCGUCGUCUUACAUCUACUGGAUUUAACUAUAAAGUUUUAUAGUUGGUACAGAAGAACGUUUUGAUGUACAAAAUGUUAAUUCGGUUUCUUGCUAUAUAAGUAGCCAUUCUGGUAAAGCGACAUCUAUGAGGCUUGACAAGAACUAUUUAUAAAUUCGCGCCAUUUUUCAACAAGUUGAACAUCAACAGUGUUACACGGCUUGACAGUUUUCAGUGUGCAAUUUUUUCAACUAAAGCAGUUCACUAAUACAUUCCACUUCCCAUAAACAUUUAUUUUAACUGUUACAGCGAAUGUUCCCGUUAUUUAAUGUGAUAAAAAUUAUUCAAAUAUGUAAGGUUGGAAGUCCAAUAAAGUGGCUCGCACCAUCUUGAAAUUUCGAUGUGUUAAAAUUAUUUAAUUAAAUGUAGGCACAAAAUAUAUCUAUUAUUACAUAUUAUAUAUUCAAUGCGACUUUAAUGUGUUUCCAGCCUAAAUUACAGAGUAUUAAUUAAUCAUUGUAUAGAUUUGUUGAACUUGUAUUAUAGAAUAUAAAAAACCA
Helicoverpa zea (corn earworm) is the source of this 1341-nucleotide RNA transcript. It is a transcript of the gene named V-type proton ATPase subunit F, with no coding region annotated. Lineage: Eukaryota; Metazoa; Arthropoda; Insecta; Lepidoptera; Noctuidae. The record is from RefSeq and is a predicted model, not a curated record. The transcript has 5 exons.